UGGGGUGUAGCUCAGUGGUAGAGCGUGUGCAUAGCAUAGCAUGCACAAGGCCUUAGGUUCAACUCCUGGCACCAAAA
RNAcentral lists this transfer RNA (77 nucleotides) under Fukomys damarensis (Damara mole-rat). It matches the Rfam family "tRNA". From Rfam's summary of the family: Transfer RNA (tRNA) molecules are approximately 80 nucleotides in length. Their secondary structure includes four short double-helical elements and three loops (D, anti-codon, and T loops). Lineage: Eukaryota; Metazoa; Chordata; Mammalia; Rodentia; Bathyergidae. The record is from Rfam by way of RNAcentral.